GAUGAACGCUAGCUACAGGCUUAACACAUGCAAGUCGCGGGGCAGCAUGGGGGUUGCUUGCAAUCCCCGAUGGCGACCGGCGCACGGGUGAGUAACGCGUAUCCAACCUGCCCUUCACCACGGGAUAACCCGGCGAAAGUCGGACUAAUACCGUAUGUUGUCCAUUGACGGCCUCCGAUUUGGACGAAAGGCUUGGCGGUGAGGGAUGGGGAUGCGUCCGAUUAGCCAGACGGCGGGGUAACGGCCCACCGUGGCUACGAUCGGUAGGGGUUCUGAGAGGAAGGUCCACCACACUGGGACUGAGACACGGUCCAGACUCCUACGGGAGGCAGCAGUGAGGAAUAUUGGUCAAUGGGCGUAAGCCUGAACCAGCCAAGUAGCGUGCAGGAUGACGGCCCUAUGGGUUGUAAACUGCUUUUAUGCGGGGAUAAAGUGGCCCACGUGUGGGCUUUUGCAGGUACCGCAUGAAUAAGGACCGGCUAAUUCCGUG
RNAcentral lists this ribosomal RNA (490 nucleotides) under uncultured bacterium. RNAcentral describes it as "partial 16S ribosomal RNA". It matches the Rfam family "Bacterial small subunit ribosomal RNA", at positions 28 to 507 of the family's 1533-position model. The record is from RNAcentral.